CAAAGGAAUUGACGGGCCCGGCACAAGCAGCGGAGCGUGUGGUUUAAUUCGAUGUUACACGAAGAACCUUACCAGGGUUUGACAUGCAAGUGGUAGGAAACCGAAAGGCGACGACCCUUCGGGGAGCUUGCACAGGUGCUGCAUGGCUGUCGUCAGCUCGUGUCGUGGGAUGUUCGGUUAAGUCCGCUAACGAGCGCAACCCUCGCUGUGUGUUACAAGUGUCACACGGUACUGCCGGUCUUAAGCCGGAGGAAGGUGGGGAUGACGUCAAGUCAGCAUGGCCUUUAUGUCCUGGGCUACACACACGCUACAAUGGCCAACACAAUAGGUUGCUAAGCCGCGAGGUGGAGCCAAUCCUCAAAGUUGGUCUCAGUUCAGAUUGCAGGCUGCAACCCGCCUGCAUGAAGAUGGAGUUGCUAGUAACCGCAGGUCAGCUAUACUGCGGUGAAUACGUUCCCGGGGCUU
This 465-nucleotide ribosomal RNA is filed under the name uncultured Leptolinea sp. RNAcentral describes it as "bacterial SSU rRNA". It matches the Rfam family "Bacterial small subunit ribosomal RNA", at positions 902 to 1382 of the family's 1533-position model. Lineage: Bacteria; Bacillati; Chloroflexota; Anaerolineae; Anaerolineales; Anaerolineaceae. The record is from RNAcentral.